This 1683-nucleotide ribosomal RNA is filed under the name Salmonella enterica subsp. diarizonae. RNAcentral's name for it is "partial 23S ribosomal RNA". It matches the Rfam family "Bacterial large subunit ribosomal RNA", at positions 1276 to 2925 of the family's 2925-position model. The record is from RNAcentral. Lineage: Bacteria; Pseudomonadati; Pseudomonadota; Gammaproteobacteria; Enterobacterales; Enterobacteriaceae.
GAGGUAUCAGAAGUGCGAAUGCUGACAUAAGUAACGAUAAAGCGGGUGAAAAGCCCGCUCGCCGGAAGACCAAGGGUUCCUGUCCAACGUUAAUCGGGGCAGGGUGAGUCGACCCCUAAGGCGAGGCCGAAAGGCGUAGUCGAUGGGAAACGGGUUAAUAUUCCCGUACUUGGUGUUACUGCGAAGGGGGGACGGAGAAGGCUAUGUUGGCCGGGCGACGGUUGUCCCGGUUUAAGCGUGUAGGUGUGUGUUCCAGGUAAAUCCGGUUCACUUUAACACUGAGGCGUGAUGACGAGGCACCACGGUGCUGAAGCAACAAAUGCCCUGCUUCCAGGAAAAGCCUCUAAGCAUCAGGUAACAUCAAAUCGUACCCCAAACCGACACAGGUGGUCAGGUAGAGAAUACCAAGGCGCUUGAGAGAACUCGGGUGAAGGAACUAGGCAAAAUGGUGCCGUAACUUCGGGAGAAGGCACGCUGACACGUAGGUGAAGUGAUUUACUCAUGGAGCUGAAGUCAGUCGAAGAUACCAGCUGGCUGCAACUGUUUAUUAAAAACACAGCACUGUGCAAACACGAAAGUGGACGUAUACGGUGUGACGCCUGCCCGGUGCCGGAAGGUUAAUUGAUGGGGUCAGCGCAAGCGAAGCUCCUGAUCGAAGCCCCGGUAAACGGCGGCCGUAACUAUAACGGUCCUAAGGUAGCGAAAUUCCUUGUCGGGUAAGUUCCGACCUGCACGAAUGGCGUAAUGAUGGCCAGGCUGUCUCCACCCGAGACUCAGUGAAAUUGAACUCGCUGUGAAGAUGCAGUGUACCCGCGGCAAGACGGAAAGACCCCGUGAACCUUUACUAUAGCUUGACACUGAACAUUGAGCCUUGAUGUGUAGGAUAGGUGGGAGGCUUUGAAGCGUGGACGCCAGUCUGCGUGGAGCCGACCUUGAAAUACCACCCUUUAAUGUUUGAUGUUCUAACGUGGACCCGUAAUCCGGGUUGCGGACAGUGUCUGGUGGGUAGUUUGACUGGGGCGGUCUCCUCCUAAAGAGUAACGGAGGAGCACGAAGGUUGGCUAAUCCUGGUCGGACAUCAGGAGGUUAGUGCAAUGGCAUAAGCCAGCUUGACUGCGAGCGUGACGGCGCGAGCAGGUGCGAAAGCAGGUCAUAGUGAUCCGGUGGUUCUGAAUGGAAGGGCCAUCGCUCAACGGAUAAAAGGUACUCCGGGGAUAACAGGCUGAUACCGCCCAAGAGUUCAUAUCGACGGCGGUGUUUGGCACCUCGAUGUCGGCUCAUCACAUCCUGGGGCUGAAGUAGGUCCCAAGGGUAUGGCUGUUCGCCAUUUAAAGUGGUACGCGAGCUGGGUUUAGAACGUCGUGAGACAGUUCGGUCCCUAUCUGCCGUGGGCGCUGGAAGACUGAGGGGGGCUGCUCCUAGUACGAGAGGACCGGAGUGGACGCAUCACUGGUGUUCGGGUUGUCAUGCCAAUGGCACUGCCCGGUAGCUAAAUGCGGAAAAGAUAAGUGCUGAAAGCAUCUAAGCACGAAACUUGCCCCGAGAUGAGUCUUCCCUGAGACCUUGAGUCUCCUGAAGGAACGUUAAAGACGAUGACGUUGAUAGGCCGGGUGUGUAAGCGCAGCGAUGCGUUGAGCUAACCGGUACUAAUGAACCGUGAGGCUUAACCUUACAACGCCGAAG